AUGGCUCGGAACGGGGCCGCUGCCGUUGGCCACGGCGAAGGCCUCCAACUACGGGAGACUUGGUCCAGGUGCGUCACGGAGGGCGCGACACAUGAUUUCAAGGUGACCAACUACCCUCUGCUUGAGGGCAUGGGCACGUACAUCACCUCCCGCACGUUCAGGGUCGGCGGCUACGAUUGGAAUAUCAGGUUCUACCCGGACGGACACACCAAGGACUCUGAAAAAGCGUUAGCAUUCUUGUUUUGUCUCAGCUCAUUGACGAAGGAUGUGAGGGCAAAGCUCACCAUAACCUUGCUGGACAAGGGAGGAAUAAGGUGCGUUCUCACCGUGAUCAUAGAACCACCCCCGGAGGAGUGCCCAAGGAAUCUCGUCGUGGUUCCUCCGCCGGAGCGGUCCGGCCGCCUCGAGCGCACCCUUAAAGACGGGAAGGGCACCGACGUCACGUUCCUCGUGGGUGGCAGGGAGUUCAGCGCGCAUACGUUCAUGCUUGCUGCGCAAUCGCCGAUUUUCGAUGCUCAGUUCUUUGGCCCGAUGGCGGAUAAGGACACGCAGUGCAUAGAGGUUCCCGACAUGGAGCCGGCCAUCUUCGAGAUGCUUCUUCACUUCAUCUACGACUCGCUGCCCCCAUGUAACGAGAAAGGUUACGAUGCUGCUACCAUGCAGCACUUGCUAGUCGCAGCACACCGGUAUAGGCUGGACAGGCUUAAGGUGAUGUGUGAGGAGAAGCUAUCCAAAAGCAUCAACGUGCAGACCGGGCUCAAAGAUGCUUGUGUGGAGUUUCUUUCUGCGCGGGGAAUAGCGGGAAUUGUCUUGUUAAGAAACGGGUUCACACGCUACAUGGCAAAGCUUGAAUCGGGGGACAAGGAGGUAUCUGCCGCCGGGACGAAGUAA
Molecule: ribosomal RNA, 891 nt
Filed under: Triticum aestivum (bread wheat)
Lineage: Eukaryota; Viridiplantae; Streptophyta; Magnoliopsida; Poales; Poaceae
Description: partial small subunit ribosomal RNA
Source: RNAcentral